This 257-nucleotide long non-coding RNA is filed under the name Homo sapiens (human). RNAcentral's name for it is "HSALNT0151166". The record is from RNAcentral. Lineage: Eukaryota; Metazoa; Chordata; Mammalia; Primates; Hominidae.
CUCCCCUCACCUGCGUUGGCAACCAAGAAAGCCUUGUGUUGGAGGUGGGGCCACAAGUUUAAAGCUAAGUUACCACCUCGAGGGCACAUUCCUGGAGAGCUUCCCAGGCCCACAGUGGCACGUGUAUGAGUGACAGGUCAGCUGAGAGAGGCCAACAUCUUCUAAACAAAAUUUGUCAAAGAACAUAAGGCAAGAAGACAUGCUCUUGGAAAAUACAAAUUAUGUAAUAGAACUCAAGUUUCAAGGUACAGUUUUCU